GAUGAACGCUGGCGGCGUGCCUAAUACAUGCAAGUCGAGCGAACGGACGAGAAGCUUGCUUUUCUGAUGUUAGCGGCGGACGGGUGAGUAACACGUGGAUAACCUACCUAUAAGACUGGGAUAACUUCGGGAAACCGGAGCUAAUACCGGAUAAUAUUUUGAUCCGCAUGGUUCAAAAGUGAAAGACGGUCUUGCUGUCACUUAUAGAUGGAUCCGCGCUGCAUUAGCUAGUUGGUAAGGUAACGGCUUACCAAGGCAACGAUGCAUAGCCGACCUGAGAGGGUGAUCGGCCACACUGGAACUGAGACACGGUCCAGACUCCUACGGGAGGCAGCAGUAGGGAAUCUUCCGCAAAGGGCGAAAGCCUGACGGAGCAACGCCGCGUGAGUGAUGAAGGUCUUCGGAUCGUAAAACUCUGUUAUUAGGGAAGAACAUAUGUGUAAGUAACUGUGCACAUCUUGACGGUACCUAAUCAGAAAGCCACGGCUAACUACGUG
Molecule: ribosomal RNA, 497 nt
Filed under: uncultured bacterium
Lineage: Bacteria
Description: partial 16S ribosomal RNA
Rfam family: Bacterial small subunit ribosomal RNA
Source: RNAcentral